Molecule: non-coding RNA, 1514 nt
Organism: Ictidomys tridecemlineatus (thirteen-lined ground squirrel)
Lineage: Eukaryota; Metazoa; Chordata; Mammalia; Rodentia; Sciuridae
Source: RefSeq, a predicted model, not a curated record
GAGCUUCUGAGAAAGCGCUAGACACGCAUGAAGCUCUGCAGCAGCCACUUGGCCCCAACUCAAGCACAGAGCCACCCGCUGCACGCCCGAGAGCCUGCCCUGGUUAUUUAUGCAGCCGUGGGUCAGCUGGCUGUGGCUUUCUCCGUCCCACCCUGGCGCGCCUCCAACUCGCAGCAGUAGCUGCGGAAUCUGGUGCUUGGGUGUGUUGUUUGGGGUCCUCUGCCUGGGAGCCGCAGCUGCCACCUUCUGGGAUGCUGCCCCCCUUGUCCUUGGUCGCGUUCUUUGCGGUGUUGGUCCACAGGUAGAAGCCAAGCAGCGAUAUUAGUUAAUGGAGAUGUGGACUUGACAGAGUGUAUAGAGGCUUGGCAUCAGAGAGAUGGAGAGUGAAUCCUAGGGCGGAGUUGGCUGUUGAACUUUCUUCUCUGAUCCUCCAACUAUGAACCCUCAUAUCUCAAUUCAAAUGUGACUUUCUCAUGGACCUGUUUCCUAAUUGAACUGUAUCUGUGCUGAGGGUUUUUACAACAUCUGAGUAUUCUUCAAAAGUUCUGAAUUUUGCCUGCUUUCUUGUCCUAGGAAACUGUAAACUCACUGUGGGAGUUAUGUUCUUGGUAAGUUUGAACACAACACUCAACAUAGUAUUUUCUAAAUGGUAGGAAUUAAAUAAAUAUUUAUUUAAAAUGAUAAGUCUAAAAGAAAACAGUAGGGGAACAAAUAAGAUCAAGACAGACUGCAGUUCCACAAAAUAAAGUUGAGUCAAAGUUAAUAAUGGUGUGAAACUUAAAAAAUAAAAACUGAAGUUUAGAUGGGGAAGCAUAGUAUUAACAUAAGCUUGAAAUAUCAAAAGUAUAUGAGAUUUAAAAUGUAAUAGUAUUGGUAAUUACAAUAGAAAAUUAAUGUAGAUGAUUAGUGAUUAGAGAAGAAGUAAGGAAGUUUAAAGAUGGAUUGUUUUCCCCAGAGAAUCAUCUUCUCCUUAACUAGGGGCCUGUGGUCUCCCAUUCCUCAGGGGCACUCAUACCUUUCCUUGUUCUGAAUCUUAUGUUGCACUCUAAGGGAUUCCCUUUGGAGAUUGUUUGCAAAAUGGGCAGUCUUUUUUUUUUUUUAAGUUUUACAACAUUAUUUUCUCCACAUAACUAGAUCUCCACUGCAGUAGCUAAAGAGUCUUGAGUUCAAAGACCUUGUCCUUUAAGCCUCCCAGGUGAAAAUAAUAAUAAGGGCUCAAGGCAGAUAUUUUUACUUUGGUUUAACAAAAGUAGACUUGACUUUGGGUGAAUUACGCAAUGUUCCCAUGUCUGUUAGUAUAGAAUAAUAUUAUGAAUUAUUUAUGAAGGCUUAUGAAAAGUGUAUAUUAAUUUAUUUAAUGUAUAUAGUCACCUGGUGGGACAAGUACUUUCAUUGUUACAUUUGGAAGUAAUAUUAAACAUAAUAAUAUUAAAUUUCUAUGUUAGAGUUAGGCAGUAUGUGUUUAUUAAUCAAACUGAGAUUCAAAUCUGGAUUUUUUGAUUCUCAGUAUCAUA